AUUUGAAUAGUUUAAUUAAAAUGUUGAUUUGUGGAAUCAGAGCUAUACGUAGUAUUUCAGAUA
Molecule: transfer RNA, 63 nt
Filed under: Stenopsyche navasi
Lineage: Eukaryota; Metazoa; Arthropoda; Insecta; Trichoptera; Stenopsychidae
Description: tRNA-His
Source: RNAcentral